Molecule: long non-coding RNA, 1065 nt
Organism: Cavia porcellus (domestic guinea pig)
Lineage: Eukaryota; Metazoa; Chordata; Mammalia; Rodentia; Caviidae
Exons: 3
Source: RefSeq, a predicted model, not a curated record
AACCUGCGUGAGCGUUCCCCGGGUGCCAGGUGCCGCUCUGGGCACCCCGCUCACUGCUCCUUCCAUCCUCAGGGCUACCCACUUCCUUCCUGAGUAAGUCCUCCGCUCCCGCAGCUGGAGGGUGACAGGCGGCCUGCCCCGGGGAAGGGCUCUCUCCUCUGCCUGGCAUCUGUGGCCAUUGUUCCCAGCGACUUCCGCCACCUCGUCACAGGAUGUCAUGCCUGUGCUCCUGAAGCAAGCCACAGGACUCCUCCGCUCUUCUGUCUUACAGAGCAUCCAAGAGCAAUGAAGAGAAGCCCCACGGUUGUAACCGCCACUACGCUGGGACCCCUUAAAGUCUUCAGAGCUGCAGCCAUGGCAGGAAAUAAAGAGGAGGGAAGAAAAAGGGAAGUUAUUUGUGUAAUGGUGUCCUGAUGGCUCUAGAAGAGGAAGUGGCAGACCUUUAAACAUCGUUAAGAUGCUACAUAAGGAGAAAAUAUCAAAAUGAAGAUACUAUACCUGGGCACGGUUAAAUUCCUUAUUAAAGGAUUUCACAAAGACCUCUUCUAAAGCCAAAUGAGUGGAAACCGGUCAUAACUGAGCAAAAGCCAUCCGACAGCCGGAGACUCAGCCUUGCUAUUGUUUAUGGAAAGAUGCAUGAAGGCUGACUUUGUCACAGUUGUUUUCCUUGGGUUUUGAAUAUUUUUGCAAACCGCUAAGAUACAAAUGUCACACAAAUGAGUAAGAAAGAGGAUUUCCUUCUGAACACAAUUGACAGGGCAGGUGCAAAAUAAAAGGGAAUGUAUGUGACGAUCAAGGAAGGACACACUUCAGAUUUAUAAAAGGUUACUCACGUUUCUCAUCAGGUGCACACAACUGCCUUAGAUAGAAAGCAUCAGAACUCACGGAACAGCCAAGCAGCUAGGAACGUGGACUUGGAAGCUGACCAGUAGUUUCAGUUCUAAAUUUACCACUAAUCUGCUCUGUUUCUGCGACAUACGACUGAACUCUUUUUAGCUCCUCAAAAGAAAUCGUGAUGAAUUUACCUCUAGAUCCUUCAGUUAAUUUCAUGAACUUAAAACAUUG